This 523-nucleotide ribosomal RNA is filed under the name uncultured bacterium. RNAcentral describes it as "bacterial SSU rRNA". It matches the Rfam family "Bacterial small subunit ribosomal RNA", at positions 777 to 1304 of the family's 1533-position model. The record is from RNAcentral.
AAUAGAUACCCUGGUAGUCCACGCCGUAAACGAUGAUCACUCGCUGUUGGCGAUAUACAGUCAGUGGCUAAGCAAAAGCAUUAAGUGAUCCACCUGGGGAGUACGGCCGCAAGGCUGAAACUCAAAGGAAUUGACGGGGGCCCGCACAAGCGGAGGAACAUGUGGUUUAAUUCGAUGAUACGCGAGGAACCUUACCUGGGCUUAAAUGCAGAGUGCAUUCUCGGGAAACCGGGAUUUUCUUCGGAACUUUCUGCAAGGUGCUGCAUGGUUGUCGUCAGCUCGUGCCGUGAGGUGUCGGGUUAAGUCCCAUAACGAGCGCAACCCUUAUCGUUAGUUGCCAGCGGGUCAAGCCGGGAACUCUAGCGAAACUGCCGGUGUAAACCGAGAGGAAGGUGGGGAUGACGUCAAAUCAGCACGGCCCUUAUGUCCAGGGCUACACACGUGUUACAAUGGCCGGUACAGAGGGCAGCUAUGCUGUGAGGCAGUGCGAAUCUCGAAAGCCGGUCUCAGUUCGGAUCGGAGU